AUUCAAAUAGUUUAUUUAAAAUAAUAAUUUGUGAAAUUAUAGAUAUAUUUAUAUUUUGGAUA
RNAcentral lists this transfer RNA (62 nucleotides) under Stenopirates sp. PJ-2015. RNAcentral describes it as "tRNA-His". The record is from RNAcentral. Lineage: Eukaryota; Metazoa; Arthropoda; Insecta; Hemiptera; Enicocephalidae.